Molecule: ribosomal RNA, 292 nt
Filed under: uncultured bacterium
Lineage: Bacteria
Description: partial 16S ribosomal RNA
Source: RNAcentral
GGACUACCAGGGUAUCUAAUCCUGUUUGCUCCCCACGCUUUCGUGCCUCAGUGUCAGUGCUGGUCCAGGUAGCCGCCUUCGCCACUGGUGUUCCUCCCGAUCUCUACGCAUUUCACCGCUACACCGGGAAUUCCACUACCCUCUACCGCACUCUAGCCUCCCAGUAUCCACUGCCAUUCCCAGGUUGAGCCCGGGGAUUUCACAACGGACUUAAGAGACCACCUACGCACGCUUUACGCCCAGUAAUUCCGAGUAACGCUUGCACCCUUCGUAUUACCGCGGCUGCUGGCAC